AACGGAAUAAACACUUUAAAAAUCUCCCAUAUUGAGUGAUUCCUCUUGGUUUGUUUACUAAGGCUGUGAACCAUUCCACCGGUUCGUUUAACUUUUAGUUAAAAUUUGACACUCCGAUGGUUAUUUUCCCAUCGUGGUUAAAAUUUUACUCCGAAGCCGACCCAUUUGAGUUUUGACAGAUUGAUAGUUAUUCGGAACGAAAUGGAUUUGGCGCCAAUUUUCUCGCGAACAAAGUUUAACUAUCGAACUGUCAAAUCUAACCAUGCUCCGGAGCAGGGUUAUUUUUAACCACGGCGAAAUAACCAUCGAAUUGUCAAAUUUUAACUAAAAGUUAAACGAAUCGGUGGAAUGGUUCACAGCCUAAAUAUAUUGCUUAAUUUUUUUUUCGUCCUAUCACCGUCGCCAAUGUGAAUAUUCAACUACUGCAAGGAAUCACUCAACAUGGAACAUCUUUGGACUACCAAGUAUCUUUGCUGCUGUCAGGAUGUGAACUGACCCGAGGCUGUUGAUGCUUCUUCGAAGUUAGGAGGCUACAAAUGAAACCACAGCUGUUCCUUUGCCGAAAUAUUUCGAUACGCCCGUGCGUGGCUAAUUGACCGCUGGUUUGUUUGAUUCCACAUGGGCAGCUAAGGGCCGAUGUCCACAUAGCGGUUUUGAACUUGCGUGCACGCAGCGUCAACGCAAUUGCGGUAGGAAGUACCCAACAUCAAAUAGAAUCAUGCACACGCACUUGCGUUAACGCGGCGUCGCCACAUGUCUCAUUUGCGGCGAGCGUUACCGCAAAGUCACCGCAAUUCCCCACAGGAACGCAGCGUGCACGCCAGUAUUUUUUUGACAUUUCUCUAUUCCUUUUCCUUCCAACAAGAUUUCUAAUGGGAAAAUCUGCAGAAAGAAUCUGUCAGAGCGAAAUCAAAACAAAAAAAAAUACUUCUCAAAUCAGUUCAUUUUGGUUUCGAAAAUUAGUUUGCAAAUAACAAAAACUUUCAAUUCUAACUUCUUUAAAUAAUAGUACUAGUACGUUCGGAGCGGCAAGUGUUUCUUUCGUUCCUAUGUUAAUAUCAGUCGAGAUCAAACCACCUUUGGAAAGAACUGACAAGCAACCAUCCCAGGCUGCCGGAUAGAGUUAAAGUCAACGAAAAUAUGUGCCCGAUAGUGUAGUGACGUUGCUUGUACCAACUUUAUCAGAAUAAAUUGAUUUCCGAACAUACGGUGAUGUGACAGUUUUGGACUGAAUGACGGAGCAAAAUUCAACCAACAAAGUGCAUUCCCUGUAUGGACCAAGGCAGGCGAUACCAGUUCCGUAAUGAGAAAAAAUAUUAAAUGAAUAUGAACGGAAGGAUGUCGUCAAAUAAUGUGGAUUGCAAUUGCAAAAAAUAAACGAGACCAGAUGAUGAGAUGGUGGCGAGCCACAGUAAGACUCCGGGAUCAGUGCGACUCUUCUAGUGUUGUGGGCAACGCGAUCGGUGUUGCAGUGGAGUGAAAAUUUAUAUUGAGUACCUAAUUUGUAGGAGCGGCUGGAGUAUCUGACCAAAAUGUUUAAUGACUUUUUAUUCUGGAACAAAAUGAUUCGUCCCUAUUUAGCCGAUAAAUCGCACUAAUAAAAAAUCGUACCCCAAACGCAAAAGAUGAUCGAUUCAAGACAAGAACAAUUAAAUGCCUGGAUCCACUAUAAUUCAAGAUUAAUCUCGCCCUAUGAUGUAAUAAAUUUUAGUUGGAAAUCUAUAUACAUAAAAAUGAAUUUCUGUCUGUCUGACCCUUAUAGACUCGGAAACUACUGAACCGAUCGGCGUGAAAAUUUGUAUGCAGAGUUUUUUGGGGCCGGGGAAGGUUCACAAGAUGGUUCGAGACCCCUCCCCUUUUUGGAAAGGGGGGCUCCCAUACAAAUGAAUCAGAAAUUUCAUCAUAACUCGAGAACUACUCCGACAAUAAAUCAAUUUUAAGCGAAACGAAGUUCGUCGGGUCUGCUAGUAAAGAAUAAAUAACAUUAUGAAAUCGUAACAAUAUUUAUUAAUUAUGAAUGUAGAAAAUAUAUUGGGAUUAAGUAAAGCAAUGCCAAAUUUCUGCCUCUCUGUAUUAAAAA
Molecule: long non-coding RNA, 2080 nt
Organism: Armigeres subalbatus
Lineage: Eukaryota; Metazoa; Arthropoda; Insecta; Diptera; Culicidae
Exons: 2
Source: RefSeq, a predicted model, not a curated record